RNAcentral lists this unclassified non-coding RNA (394 nucleotides) under soil metagenome. Its description in RNAcentral is "partial contains 5.8S ribosomal RNA, internal transcribed spacer 2, and large subunit ribosomal RNA". The stretch from base 1 to 122 matches the Rfam family "5.8S ribosomal RNA", at positions 35 to 154 of the family's 154-position model. The record is from RNAcentral.
GAUGAAGAACGCAGCGAAAUGCGAUACUUGGUGUGAAUUGCAGAAUCCCGUGAACCAUCGAGUCUUUGAACGCAAGUUGCGCCCGAAGCCAUCAGGUUGAGGGCACGUCUGCCUGGGCGUCACAUAUCGUUGCCCAAUGCCUAUUGCAGUGCAAUAGGAAUUUCUAGGGCGAAUGAUGGCUUCCCGUGAGCGUUGUUGCCUCGCGGUUGGUUGAAAAUCGAGUCCUUGGUAGGGUGUGCCAUGGUAGAUGGUGGUCGAGUUAGAACGAUACCGAUCAUGUGCAUGCUCCCCAAAAUAUGGCCUCUAUGACCCACACGCGUCUUUUGACGCUCAUGACGAGACCUCAGGUCAGGCGGGGCUACCCGCUGAAUUUAAGCAUAUCAAUAACGGAGGA